UGUACAUCGGGGCGUGGAGCGUGGGUAAGAGGGGGGGUGGAAGCGUGAAUCGGAAUUACUGGGCGGAAAGCGCCCGCAGGCGGUUUGAUAAGUUAUAUGUGAAAGGCCCGGGCUCAACCUGGGAAUUGCAUUUAAAACUGUCCAGCUAGAGUCUUGUAGAGGGGGGUAGAAUUCCAGGUGUAGCGGUGAAAUGCGUAGAGAUCUGGAGGAAGACCGGGGGCGAAGGCGGCCCCCUGGACAAAGACUGACGCUCAGGUGCGAAAGCGUGGGGAGCAAACAGGAUUAGAUACCCGAGUAGUC
This 300-nucleotide ribosomal RNA is filed under the name uncultured Johnsonella sp. RNAcentral describes it as "partial 16S ribosomal RNA". The stretch from base 52 to 300 matches the Rfam family "Bacterial small subunit ribosomal RNA", at positions 547 to 795 of the family's 1533-position model. Lineage: Bacteria; Bacillati; Bacillota; Clostridia; Lachnospirales; Lachnospiraceae. The record is from RNAcentral.